AACGAUUGAAGCUGGGAGCUUGCUCCGGCCGAUUUAGUGGCGGACGGGUGAGUAACGCGUGGGUAACCUGCCUCAUACAGGGGGAUAGCAGUUGGAAACGACUGGUAAAACCGCAUAAGCGCACGGUGUCGCAUGACACAGUGUGAAAACACUCCGGUGGUAUGAGAUGGACCCGCGUCUGAUUAGCUAGUUGGUGAGGUAACGGCCCACCAAGGCGACGAUCAGUAGCCGGCCUGAGAGGGUGAACGGCCACAUUGGGACUGAGACACGGCCCAAACUCCUACGGGAGGCAGCAGUGGGGAAUAUUGCACAAUGGGGGAAACCCUGAUGCAGCGACGCUGCGUGAGUGAUGAAGUAUUUCGGUAUGUAAAGCUCUAUCAGCAGGGAAGAUAAUGACGGUACCUGACUAAGAAGCACCGGCUAAAUACGUGCCAGCAGCCGCGGUAAUACGUAUGGUGCAAGCGUUAUCCGGAUUUACUGGGUGUAAAGGGUGCGUAGGUGGCAAGGCAAGUCUGAAGUGAAAAUCCGGGGCUCAACCCCGGAACUGCUUUGGAAACUGUUUAGCUGGAGUACAGGAGAGGUAAGUGGAAUUCCUAGUGUAGCGGUGAAAUGCGUAGAUAUUAGGAGGAACACCAGUG
Molecule: ribosomal RNA, 638 nt
Filed under: uncultured Lachnospiraceae bacterium
Lineage: Bacteria; Bacillati; Bacillota; Clostridia; Lachnospirales; Lachnospiraceae
Description: bacterial SSU rRNA
Rfam family: Bacterial small subunit ribosomal RNA
Source: RNAcentral